GACGAACGCUGGCGGCGUGCUUAACACAUGCAAGUCGAACGGAAAGGCCCUGCUUUUGUGGGAUGCUCGAGUGGCGAACGGGUGAGUAACACGUGAGUAACCUGCCCUUGACUUUGGGAUAACUUCAGGAAACUGGGGCUAAUACCGGAUAGGAGCUCCUGCUGCAUGGUGGGGGUUGGAAAGUUUCGGCGGUUGGGGAUGGACUCGCGGCUUAUCAGCUUGUUGGUGGGGUAGUGGCUUACCAAGGCUUUGACGGGUAGCCGGCCUGAGAGGGUGACCGGCCACAUUGGGACUGAGAUACGGCCCAGACUCCUACGGGAGGCAGCAGUGGGGGAUAUUGCACAAUGGGCGGAAGCCUGAUGCAGCAACGCCGCGUGCGGGAUGACGGCCUUCGGGUUGUAAACCGCUUUCGCCUGUGACGAAGCGUGAGUGACGGUAAUGGGUAAAGAAGCACCGGCUAACUACGUG
This 468-nucleotide ribosomal RNA is filed under the name uncultured bacterium. Its description in RNAcentral is "partial 16S ribosomal RNA". It matches the Rfam family "Bacterial small subunit ribosomal RNA", at positions 28 to 507 of the family's 1533-position model. The record is from RNAcentral.